This is a long non-coding RNA of Oncorhynchus tshawytscha (Chinook salmon), 679 nucleotides long. The record is from Ensembl. Lineage: Eukaryota; Metazoa; Chordata; Actinopteri; Salmoniformes; Salmonidae.
AUGUGUAUGUGUGUGUGUGUGUGAUUAGUCUGUGUUCUGACCACAGAGGAAAGGAGGAAUGCAAAUGCCUAUACAGACGCCCUAUCUAAUAACCGAGCCAUGAAAUCUCUCCCAUCUCCCAUAGGGCCUCACCUGCAGCAAAACAACUAAAGCAUUGUGGGUGUUCCAUUCAUCUCGCCGGGGAGCGCGUGGAAACGUGUUUCAACUGGCUGAAAGAUGAUUGCAUUAGUGGGUGUGAGCCGAUGACGUGACGAUCUUUUACCCCGGAUCAACCCUGGUCAGCGAUGAGGUGACGAUCCUUUCCCCCGGAUCAACCCUGGUCAGCGAUGACGUGACGGGCCUUACCCCCCGGAUCAACCCUGGACAGAGAUGACGUGACGAUCCUUUACCCCGGAUCAACCCUGGUCAGCGAUGAGGUGACGAUCCUUUACCCCGGAUCAACCCUGGUCAGAGAUGAGGUGACGAUCCUUUACCCCGGAUCAACCCUGGACAGAGAUGAGGUGACGAUCCUUUACCCCGGAUCAACCCUGGUCAGCGAUGACAUGACGGUCCUUUCCCCCGGAUCAACCCUGGUCAGCGAUGACGUGAUGGUCCUUUCCCCCGGAUUAACCCUGGUCAGAGAUGACGUGAUGGGCCUUUCCCCCGGAUCAACCCUGGUCAGAGAUGACGGUCUUUAUCC